Acanthosepion pharaonis is the source of this 111-nucleotide non-coding RNA. The record is from the annotation of a GenBank genome assembly. Lineage: Eukaryota; Metazoa; Mollusca; Cephalopoda; Sepiida; Sepiidae.
UGGUCUUAUCAUGUUGAAAUACCGGUUCUCGUACGAUCACCAAAGUUAAGCAACGUCAAGCCUGGUCAGUACCUAGAUUGGUAACCGCUUGGGAAUACCACGUGAGGCAAG